This 318-nucleotide unclassified non-coding RNA is filed under the name fungal sp. RNAcentral's name for it is "partial internal transcribed spacer region". The stretch from base 1 to 46 matches the Rfam family "Eukaryotic small subunit ribosomal RNA", at positions 1786 to 1831 of the family's 1831-position model. Lineage: Eukaryota; Fungi. The record is from RNAcentral.
AAGUCGUAACAAGGUUUCCGUAGGUGAACCUGCGGAAGGAUCAUUAAAAUGUAUGAGAUUGGCAGCGCGUGCAUGAGCGGAGCGAAGCGAAGCGAGUGCACACGCUGUCGAUCGAAUAGCCAUGGCCGAGGGUUGGGUGACAGAUGGUUGAGGGUGAGGGCGAGGGUUGGCGAGGGCAUGUUGGGCGACGGUCAUCGAUGCAGCGCGAAUUAAACACUCGCUCUGCGUCAAAACACAUGCACAUGCAAAACGUGCACAUGCACACACGCAUCACGCAACAUUUAUGCAACUGUAGACAAUGGAUCUCUAGGCUCCUGC